UUUAUUGGAGAGUUUGAUCCUGGCUCAGGAUGAACGCUGGCGGCGUGCCUAAUACAUGCAAGUCGAGCGAAUGGAUUGAGAGCUUGCUCUCAAGAAGUUAGCGGCGGACGGGUGAGUAACACGUGGGUAACCUACCCAUAAGACUGGGAUAACUCCGGGAAACCGGGGCUAAUACCGGAUAACAUUUUGAACUGCAUGGUUCGAAAUUGAAAGGCGGCUUCGGCUGUCACUUAUGGAUGGACCCGCGUCGCAUUAGCUAGUUGGUGAGGUAACGGCUCACCAAGGCAACGAUGCGUAGCCG
Molecule: ribosomal RNA, 301 nt
Filed under: Bacillus sp. CH126_4D
Lineage: Bacteria; Bacillati; Bacillota; Bacilli; Caryophanales; Bacillaceae
Description: partial 16S ribosomal RNA
Rfam family: Bacterial small subunit ribosomal RNA
Source: RNAcentral